GAAGGCUCUGCAACGGUGAAUGCCGAGGCACUGGAAGCCGAUGAAGGACGUGACAAACGACGAAAUGCUUCGGGGAGCUGGUAAGUACGCAGAGAUCCGGAGAUAUCCGAAUGGGGGAACCCGGCACCGUGAGGUGUCACCUUGAAUGUGAUAGAUAGCAUAAGGAGGAAGACGCAGUGAACUGAAACAUCUAAGGUACC
RNAcentral lists this ribosomal RNA (200 nucleotides) under chlamydia-associated clinical sample 708-G. RNAcentral describes it as "partial 23S ribosomal RNA". It matches the Rfam family "Bacterial large subunit ribosomal RNA", at positions 21 to 211 of the family's 2925-position model. The record is from RNAcentral.